Long non-coding RNA from Cololabis saira (Pacific saury), 594 nucleotides. RefSeq lists it as uncharacterized. The record is from RefSeq and is a predicted model, not a curated record. NCBI's taxonomy places the organism in Eukaryota, Metazoa, Chordata, Actinopteri, Beloniformes, Belonidae. The transcript has 4 exons.
CAUAAGGGUCAUAUGAUCCUCACAGGUUUCCUGAUAAAGUGAUGCAGCAUCUGUGACGCUGAGGAAAACCGUUUAGUGGAUUAACUCCACGCAGCUUUAUUUGUUUUCUGAUACAGUUGCUUCUCCUCUUUCAGUUCACAGAUGUGGAAAAUUCCCUGUAGUUGAAAAUAGUGUUGCUGAGCCGCAGGGUAAUUGGUCUUUGAAGUACAAAUGUGCAAAACUUUAUGAACUACAGGGUCCAGAGACUGUGGUGUGUCACAGCAACGGAAAGUGGUCCGACUUACCCACCUGCAGAGAAAACUUCUGCUCUGUGGACACUAACGUGGAACCUGACUUAAAAAAUACUGGAGUUUCUUUCUUAGCAAACGGAGAGACAAUGUGGCUUGCUUGUGAAGAUAAGUGGAUAUUUCCAAGCUUUGCUGUAUUCCAGUGCAAAGAUCUACAACCCAUUUUAUCCAGAUGUUGUAACCGUUUCCAAAUAAAUAUAGGUAUCUGCUGAGACCAGAUCAUGAAGAUGCUGCUUUCAGAUUUGCUGAUGAAAUAUCAUCACAGAAGACUUGAGACGAUCGGUUAUGAUCACGCCCUACGUAGCUU